RNAcentral lists this non-coding RNA (31 nucleotides) under Mus musculus (house mouse). The record is from RNAcentral. Lineage: Eukaryota; Metazoa; Chordata; Mammalia; Rodentia; Muridae.
CAGGCACUUGUAACUCCCAGGGGAUGAAUCC